UUUGGUGGCGAUGCGUUUAGGGGUAACACCCGUUCUCAUCCCGAACACGAUGGUUAAGACCUAAACGGCCGAUGGUACUGCACUGGGGACGGUGUGGGAGAGUAGGUGGCCGCCAAAU
RNAcentral lists this ribosomal RNA (118 nucleotides) under Ruminococcus hominis. Lineage: Bacteria; Bacillati; Bacillota; Clostridia; Eubacteriales; Oscillospiraceae. The record is from RNAcentral.